Molecule: long non-coding RNA, 4747 nt
Filed under: Oncorhynchus mykiss (rainbow trout)
Lineage: Eukaryota; Metazoa; Chordata; Actinopteri; Salmoniformes; Salmonidae
Description: lncRNA (ENSOMYG00000071338.1)
Source: RNAcentral
UCUGGGUCAGUGAGAACUGCUGGUCUGGGUCAGUGAGAACUGCUGGUCUGGGUCAGUGAGAACUGCUGGUCUGGGUCAGUGAGGACUGCUGGUCUGGGUCAGUGAGGACUGCUGGUCUGGGUCAGUGAGGACUGCUGGUCUGGGUCAGUGAGGACUGCUGGUCUGGGUCAGUGAGGACUGCUGGUCUGGGUCAGUGAGGACUGCUGGUCUGGGUCAGGGAGGACUGCUGGUCUGGGUCAGGGAGGACUGCUGGUCUGGGUCAGUGAGGACUGCUGGUCUGGGUCAGGGAGGACUGCUGGUCUGGGUCAGUGAGGACUGCUGGUCUGGGUCAGGGAGGACUGCUGGUCUGGGUCAGGGAGGACUGCUGGUCUGGGUCAGUGAGGACUGCUGGUCUGGGUCAGUGAGGACUGCUGGUCUGGGUCAGUGAGGACUGCUGGUCUGGGUCAGUGAGGACUGCUGGUCUGGGUCAGUGAGGACUGCUGGUCUGGGUCAGUGAGGACUGCUGGUCUGGGUCAGUGAGGACUGCUGGUCUGGGUCAGUGAGGACUGCUGGUCUGGGUCAGGGAGGACUGCUGGUCUGGGUCAGGGAGGACUGCUGGUCUGGGUCACUGCAUCUGUAGUGUGGCCCGUACUGGAGCACUGCAUCUGUAGUGUGGCCCGUACUGGAGCACUGCUGAAGGUCAUAUGGAAGAAUGAACUAUGAAGCCUUUGUCCAAUAUGGCACCCUAAUCCCUAGAUAGUGCACUGCUUCGGGCCUGGCAACGUCCCAACGUCUCAUUGGUUCCACUCCUGGCAACGUCCCAACGUCUCAUUGGUUCCACUCCUGGCAACGUUCCAACGUCUCAUUGGUUCCACUCCUGGCAACGUCCCAACGUCUCAUUGGUUCCACUCCUGGCAACGUCCCAACGUCUCAUUGGUUCCACUCCUGGCAGCGUCCCAACGUCUCAUUGGUUCCACUCCUGGCAGCGUCCCAACGUCUCAUUGGUUCCACUCCUGGCAACGUCCCAACGUCUCAUUCAUAUAUCCCAUCCUCUGGGGGUCUGCAUAGAGCUAGCAGACUACAGCUCUAUAUCCUAUCCUCUGGGGGUCUGCAUAGAGCUAGCAGACUACAGCUCUAUAUCCUAUCCUCUGGGGGUCUGCAUGGAGCUAGCAGACUACAGCUCUAUAGCCUAUCCUCUGGGGGUCUGCAUGGAGCAGACUACAGCUCUAUAUCCUAUCCCUGGGGGUCUGCAUAGAGCAGACUACAGCUCUAUAUCCUAUCCUCUGGAGGUCUGCGUAGAGCUAGCAGACUACAGCUCUAUAUAUCCUAUCCUCUGGGGGUCUGCAUGGAGCAGACUACAGCUCUAUAUCCUAUCCUCUGGAGGUCUGCGUAGAGCUAGCAGACUACAGCUCUAUAUAUCCUAUCCUCUUGGGGUCUGUGUAGAGCAGACUACAGCUCUAUAUCCUAUCCUCUGGAGGUCUGCGUAGAGCUAGCAGACUACAGCUCUAUAUUUACCUAUCCUCUGGGGGUCUGCAUGGAGCAGACUACAGCUCUAUAUAUCCUACCCUCUUGGGGUCUGUGUAGAGCAGACUACAGCUCUAUAUCCUAUCCUCUGGAGGUCUGCGUAGAGCUAGCAGACUACAGCUCUAUAUUUACCUAUCCUCUGGGGGUCUGCAUGGCGCAGACUACAGCUCUAUAUCCUAUCCUCUGGAGGUCUGCGUAGAGCUAGCAGACUACAGCUCUAUAUUUACCUAUCCUCUGGGGGUCUGCAUGGAGCAGACUACAGCUCUAUAUCCUAUCCUCUGGGGGUCUGCGUAGAGCAGACUACAGCUCUAUAUCCUAUCCUCUGGAGGUCUGCGUAGAGCUAGCAGACUAGAAACAUUUGACUGAAUUUGAUGCCCAGUACAACUUGAAGAGAGUUGGCAUGGCUGAUGUCAUGUGACAGGGUUUACAUGGGGUUUUGGUCCGUGGACCUACUGAUGAACUCAGAGUAACCUCAGUGCUGGGCCAGGAGGAGGUUUUCCACCAUCAACUUGUUCCCUACUUUGGUUUUCUAUUAGAAAUGGCACACGCUUUAAAAAAAAGCACAUGGUUUAUAUUUUAUGUUAUUGUGAUUUUAAAUGAACUUGAUAAAAUAAAGAUUUGUCAAACAUUUUGCUCGCUUUUUAUGUUUUUGCGAUGUAGCUGUUAAAUAACUGGACAGAGAUGUCUGUUUCUAUUUUAUAUGUAUUCUGAGACUUUUAGCUAAAACUUCAAACAAAAUGCAGAGACUCCUUCUGAUUGGUCCCUUACAGGACCAAGUGCUUCUGAUUGGUCCCUACAUGUCAGUUAGCAGACUCUUAUCCAGAGCCCCUUACAGGACCUAGUGCUUCUGAUUGGUCCCUACAUGUCAGUUAGCAGACUCUUAUCCAGAGCCCCUUACAGGACCAAGUGCUUCUGAUUGGUCCCUACAUGUCAGUUAGCAGACUCUUAUCCAGAGCCACUUACAGGACCAAGUGCUUCUGAUUGGUCCCUACAUGUCAGUUAGCAGACUCUUAUCCAGAGCCCCUUACAGGACCAAGUGCUUCUGAUUGGUCCCUACAUGUCAGUUAGCAGACUCUUAUCCAGAGCCACUUACAGGACCAAGUGCUUCUGAUUGGUCCCUACAUGUCAGUUAGCAGACUCUUAUCCAGAGCCACUUACAGGACCAAGUGCUUCUGAUUGGUCCCUACAUGUCAGUUAGCAGACUCUUAUCCAGAGCCACUUACAGGACCAAGUGCUUCUGAUUGGUCCCUACAUGUCAGUUAGCAGACUCUUAUCCAGAGCCCCUUACAGGACCAAGUGCUUCUGAUUGGUCCCUACAUGUCAGUUAGCAGACUCUUAUCCAGAGCCACUUACAGGACCAAGUGCUUCUGAUUGGUCCCUACAUGUCAGUUAGCAGACUCUUAUCCAGAGCCACUUACAGGACCAAGUGCUUCUGAUUGGUCCCUACAUGUCAGUUAGCAGACUCUUAUCCAGAGCCCCUUACAGGACCAAGUGCUUCUGAUUGGUCCUUUACAGGACCAAGUGCUUCUGAUUGGUCCCUACAUGUCAGUUAGCAGACUCUUAUCCAGAGCCCCUUACAGGACCAAGUGCUUCUGAUUGGUCCCUACAUGUCAGUUAGCAGACUCUUAUCCAGAGCCCCUUACAGGACCAAGUGCUUCUGAUUGGUCCCUACAUGUCAGUUAGCAGACUCUUAUCCAGAGCCACUUACAGGACCAAGUGCUUCUGAUUGGUCCCUACAUGUCAGUUAGCAGACUCUUAUCCAGAGCCACUUACAGGACCAAGUGCUUCUGAUUGGUCCCUACAUGUCAGUUAGCAGACUCUUAUCCAGAGCCCCUUACAGGACCAAGUGCUUCUGAUUGGUCCCUACAUGUCAGUUAGCAGACUCUUAUCCAGAGCCACUUACAGGACCAAGUGCUUCUGAUUGGUCCCUACAUGUCUGGCAGUUAGCAGACUCUUAUCCAGAGCCACUUACAGGACCAAGUGCUUCUGAUUGGUCCCUACAUGUCAGUUAGCAGACUCUUAUCCAGAGCCACUUACAGGACCAAGUGCUUCUGAUUGGUCCCUACAUGUCUGGCAGUUAGCAGACUCUUAUCCAGAGCCACUUACAGGACCAAGUGCUUCUGAUUGGUCCCUUUCAGACUAUUUAUGUGAACUCAUUGUGGUUUGCUUGUUUUUUUUUUGGUGCAGUCUGAACACUCCGAAGGAACUCCGACCCCUCAAACCCCCAAAGUGAACCCAACUGAGACCAUCUCAAGAGGGGGUCUGAGUUUGGUUUGCUUGAAUUCCGCGUUCAGGUUCCCUUUUUAGGACAAUGUGAACACAAAGCUCCCCAGGUUCCCCCACACUACUGCAGCACACUAAACUACAGCCGCGACCCCUCGCUGGAGACCAACGGCCGCGACCCCUCGCUGGAGACCAACGGCCGCGACCCCUCGCUGGAGACCAACGGCCGCGACCCCUCGCUGGAGACCAACGGCCGCGACCCCUCGCUGGAGACCAACGGCCGCGAUAGAGAGAUAUGCAGAUAAAAAUGUGUUUUUUGAUUAGCGGUUGUCAAGGAUGUACAGAAAUUCAAAUAUGUGGGGAGUUUUUGGUUCAGAUGAUGUUUGUAAUUUGUGAUCUAAAGGCAGAGAGAGCUUCGUACACUGUUUAUUCCAUUGUGAGAAGACAUAUUUGGUGAGAAUCACACCACGGAGGUACGGCAUCAGUCCCAGAUCUUAUUAAAGGGCCAGUAGCCCACAUCGGGUGGACACUUGACAAAUAUACACUUAUUAUUCUGCUAUUUAUUCUGUUAAUAUUAUUUACAUGUUAAUAAUAGUAUCUUCUGAUUAGUGAUUGCUUUUUAGUUCAAAGAGGAGACAUUCUAUUAGCUUCCAAAAUGUAAGUAGGUAUUAUAAACUCAGCAAAAAAAAGAAACUGUCAACUGUGUUUAUUUUCAGCAAACUUAACAUGUGUAAAUAUUUGUAUGAAUAUGAGAUUCAACAACUGAGACAUUAACUGAACAAGGUCCACAGACAUGUGACUAACAGCAAUUGAAUAGUGUGUCCCAGAACAAAGAGGGGGGUCAAAAUCAAAAGUAACAGUCAGUAUCUGGUGUGGCCACCAGCUGCAUUAAGUACUGCAGUGCAUCUCCUCCUCAGGGACUGCACCGGAUUUGCCAGUUCUUGCUGUGAGAUGUUACCCUGCUCUUCAAGGCACCUGCAAGUUCCCGGACAUUUCUGGGAGGAAUGGCCCUAGUUCUCAC